This 1437-nucleotide ribosomal RNA is filed under the name uncultured organism. RNAcentral describes it as "SSU rRNA". It matches the Rfam family "Bacterial small subunit ribosomal RNA". The record is from RNAcentral.
GAACGCUAGCUACAGGCUUAACACAUGCAAGUCGAGGGGCAGCAUGAACUUAGCUUGCUAAGUUUGAUGGCGACCGGCGCACGGGUGAGUAACACGUAUCCAACCUGCCGAUGACUCGGGGAUAGCCUUUCGAAAGAAAGAUUAAUACCCGAUGGCAUAGUUCUUCCGCAUGAUAGAACUAUUAAAGAAUUUCGGUCAUCGAUGGGGAUGCGUUCCAUUAGGUUGUUGGCGGGGUAACGGCCCACCAAGCCUUCGAUGGAUAGGGGUUCUGAGAGGAAGGUCCCCCACAUUGGAACUGAGACACGGUCCAAACUCCUACGGGAGGCAGCAGUGAGGAAUAUUGGUCAAUGGACGAGAGUCUGAACCAGCCAAGUAGCGUGAAGGAUGACUGCCCUAUGGGUUGUAAACUUCUUUUAUACGGGAAUAAAGUGAGGCACGUGUGCCUUUUUGUAUGUACCGUAUGAAUAAGGAUCGGCUAACUCCGUGCCAGCAGCCGCGGUAAUACGGAGGAUCCGAGCGUUAUCCGGAUUUAUUGGGUUUAAAGGGAGCGUAGGCGGACGCUUAAGUCAGUUGUGAAAGUUUGCGGCUCCAUCGUAAAAUUGCAGUUGAUACUGGGUGUCUUGAGUACAGUAAAGGCAGGCGGAAAUCGUGGUGUAGCGGUGAAAUGCUUAGAUAUCACGAAGAACUCCGAUUGCGAAGGCAGCCUGCUGGACUGUAACUGACGCUGAUGCUCGAAAGUGUGGGUAUCAAACAGGAUUAGAUACCCUGGUAGUCCACACAGUAAACGAUGAAUACUCGCUGUUUGCGAUAUACAGUAAGCGGCCAAGCGAAAGCGUUAAGUAUUCCACCUGGGGAGUACGCCGGCAACGGUGAAACUCAAAGGAAUUGACGGGGGCCCGCACAAGCGGAGGAACAUGUGGUUUAAUUCGAUGAUACGCGAGGAACCUUACCCGGGCUUGAAUUGCAACUGAAUGAUGUGGAGACAUGUCAGCCGCAAGGCAGUUGUGAAGGUGCUGCAUGGUUGUCGUCAGCUCGUGCCGUGAGGUGUCGGCUUAAGUGCCAUAACGAGCGCAACCCUUAUCGAUAGUUACCAUCAGGUUAUGCUGGGGACUCUGUCGAGACUGCCGUCGUAAGAUGUGAGGAAGGUGGGGAUGACGUCAAAUCAGCACGGCCCUUACGUCCGGGGCUACACACGUGUUACAAUGGGGGGUACAGAAGGCAGCUACACGGCGACGUGAUGCUAAUCCCUAAAGCCUCUCUCAGUUCGGAUUGGAGUCUGCAACCCGACUCCAUGAAGCUGGAUUCGCUAGUAAUCGCGCAUCAGCCACGGCGCGGUGAAUACGUUCCCGGGCCUUGUACACACCGCCCGUCAAGCCAUGAAAGCCGGGGGUACCUGAAGUGCGUAACCGCAAGGAGCGCCCUAGGGUAAAACUGGAG